Molecule: ribosomal RNA, 253 nt
Filed under: uncultured bacterium
Lineage: Bacteria
Description: partial 16S ribosomal RNA
Rfam family: Bacterial small subunit ribosomal RNA
Source: RNAcentral
UACGUAGGGUGCAAGCGUUGUCCGGAAUUAUUGGGCGUAAAGAGCUCGUAGGCGGUUUGUUGCGUCGGCUGUGAAAUCCCGAGGCUCAACCUCGGGUCUGCAGUCGAUACGAGCAAACUAGAGUGUUGCAGGGGAGACUGGAAUUCCUGGUGUAGCGGUGAAAUGCGUAGAUAUCGUAAGGAAGACCAGUGGCGAAGGCGAGUCUCUGGACAGUUACUGACGCUGAGGCACGAAGGCCAGGGGAGCAAACGGG